RNAcentral lists this long non-coding RNA (613 nucleotides) under Monodelphis domestica (gray short-tailed opossum). Its description in RNAcentral is "lncRNA (ENSMODG00000041695.1)". Lineage: Eukaryota; Metazoa; Chordata; Mammalia; Didelphimorphia; Didelphidae. The record is from RNAcentral.
GCCGUGACCGACAACUCGAGCGGGCCCGCCCUUCGUCUUAAGUUGUGAACCACCGCUCAGGCAGCGGUUGGUUGCAAGGAGUAGGCCUGAGCUAGUUUCUGCGCUUGUCCCGCCACGAAAGGCCUGCUCCCCCAGCUGCUGGGUGCUGCUGGGUGCGCGCGCACCUGUGUGGGCUGUGAUCCUGCGUCAGUCGGCCCCCUCCCCCCAUCACUCUGUGCUCCGUUAUUGUUUAUCCGAUCCAUUCUACUUACCGGUAUAGAUGCAAAUCAUCGAAAUCCAUCCCAAUACUACAGUGUAAAUGCUGCAGACUUUUGUAAUGUGGGAGUCUGGCUGGAUGUUCUCAGUAUUUACAUGUAGGGCCCAGGCUAGCUGUUGGGAAUACCAAGAGAGAGAACAAAACAAAACAGAGCCCAGUCCCUAUUCUCAAGAAGCUCACCGUCUAAUAAGGGAGACAACAUGCAGACAACUGUGUUCAAAAGGGAUGUACAACCCAAAUAAAGGACUGGAAGGUAUGGAUUAUGAUAUUCUGCAAGACAAAGGAUCUAGAACUAUCAUCUAUCACCUAUCUAAUGAAACUGAGCAUAAUACUACAGGGGAACAAACACUUAUUUAA